Molecule: ribosomal RNA, 549 nt
Filed under: uncultured Glomus
Lineage: Eukaryota; Fungi; Glomeromycota; Glomeromycetes; Glomerales; Glomeraceae
Description: SSU rRNA
Rfam family: Eukaryotic small subunit ribosomal RNA
Source: RNAcentral
UGGGAGGGCAAGUCUGGUGCCAGCAGCCGCGGUAAUUCCAGCUCCAAUAGCGUAUAUUAAAGUUGUUGCAGUUAAAAAGCUCGUAGUUGAAUUUCGGGGUCAGUAGGUUGGUCGUGCCACCGGUACGUACUGGUCUCACUGAUUCCUCCUUCCUGAUGAGCUGUAAUGCCAUUAAUUUGGUGUUGCAGGGAAUCUGGACUGUUACUUUGAAAAAAUUAGAGUGUUUAAAGCAGGCUAACGCUUGAAUACAUUAGCAUGGAAUAAUGAAAUAGGACGUUCGAUCCUAUUUUGUUGGUUUCUAGGAUUGACGUAAUGAUUAAUAGGGAUAGUUGGGGGCAUUAGUAUUCAAUUGUCAGAGGUGAAAUUCUUGGAUUUAUUGAAGACUAACUACUGCGAAAGCAUUUGCCAAGGAUGUUUUCAUUAAUCAAGAACGAAAGUUAGGGGAUCGAAGACGAUCAGAUACCGUCGUAGUCUUAACCAUAAACUAUGCCGACUAGGGAUCGGAUGAUGUUAAUUUUUUAAUGACUCAUUCGGCGCCUUACGGGAAAC